AGGCAUGAUUCAGAGCAAAUGUAUGAGCAUUUUUAUUUCAUUUCCACCUCAAAGCUAAAUCAAGUCAAAUUCAGGUGUAUACCUGGAACUGUAUUGAAAUAGAAGAGAAGAAGAGAGUCAGGAGCAUUAAACUCUAGAAAACCAACAACAACAGGUUCAAUUUCAGCCCAAAAACAUGCUAAAACGCCCAGGAACGAUUUUUAAAAGGCCAAACAAUAGUAAAUCACCCUAUUCAGAUCAGAUGCAGCCAAAUAGACUAAAGUUUUACCCAAAAAUCCUUGUGGAUUUGAAUUCACGAAAGCUGAAGAUGUUCAAACCAUUUUGACCUCCUAUGAAUCUAGAGCUUGAUCUAAAAGCUGAAAUUCAAGCUUAACCUAAGGUGGUCUUCAAUGAAACAACGCUUUGUGGAGUAUUUCUAUUGCCUUUGUUUUUGGUUUCUUGAAGGAACUAAGAUCUAAGAUGAAAAUUUCUGAACUCUAGGAGUUCAGCUUUUAGUAGUUGAAUUUGAAAGUUAAAUUUAGAUGCUAGAACUUGCAGAAAAAAUUUUUGGGGAGAAUUUUAGAUGCUGAAACCUUUGGGAAUUUUCAGGAGGGCUCCCAACUUGUUAAAGAAGGCAAUGGAGUCGCCUUUUAUAGGCAGAAAUAAGGGGGAAGCUUCCAGAUUUCACUCGCCCCUUUUUCCCCCUUUUUUAUUCAAGUUUAUAUUGAUUAAACCUUUAUUUUUUUACUUGUUUCUCAAGUUACUGCUCUAAGUUUCUGAAAUUACAAUUGGCACCCCAUCUAGAAUAUUCUAGGGUUUUGUGAUUCAGUUAUUCAAAGAUUCUCUUGUCUAAAAUACCUAAACUGCCCUUUUAUUUAAUUUGAAAUUACCAACCUAGAAUUAACUAAGCCUAGCCACUUUACCUUAGUUAGUGAUUGUGGUCAAUUAUUCAAAAAAUGAAAAAUUCAGCUAAAUCCAAACAAAUCAGAGAAGGUCAUCCUAAAUAAAUUAAUUCUAAUUGCAACAUUGGGUAAUCAAUGAACUAACAGGGCUAAUAUCAAUUUAACAAGAACAUCCAUGGAUCAAUUAAUUUGAACCAAAUACAAAAAUCAAAUGAGAACAAAAUCAAACCAAAAGUAACAACUAAAACAAAUCAGAAUCAAUUAGUGAUGCAGAAAAUUUUAUCAGAUGAGAGAAAAAGCUUACUGACUUAACAGAAACGUAAAGUAAUUCUAAAGCACUGAAUAGAAACAAGAAUUAUGCCCUAAUGACAAAACUAAAUGAAUCAAAUCAUGUCAUAGAUUAUUAGUACACAAACAAGAUGACACGAACAAAUAAAAGCAGAUAAGGAUUAUGACUCCACACGGAUAAAAAACUCAAAUCAAUUAAAUCAUGAAGCAAAACCAUCAUGGGAGCGAAAUUAAUUCUGAUAACUAAACAAUAAGAAAAAAUAAAAGAAAUUUAAAAACUCACCGGUGUAACUUCUAUAGUCUUGCCAUUUCUCAGAUUUAAAAAUCGAGCAACUCCGUUAAGAUUCUAAGGCCACUGAUUAUAGAUUCAGAACAAGGGAAGUGAGGAGAUCACAUAGUAUCAAUUUGGUGAGGUUUGGGGAAUUUAGAGUUUUGGCCAGAACUUUGAUUUGAUAUUCGAGGAGCUUGGUGGGGAUUGGAGGGACGGAGUUUGGGGGUUUGGAAAGAGGAGAGGAAGGUAGUUCUAAGGUGUUAAUUUGAAUGGGAUUGAGUGAGUUAAGGUUUUGACCGAAAUCUUUGAUGCAAGAUUCGAGGGGAUUGGCUAGGAUUUGGGGAAAACUAGUAAUGGAUUUGGAGUGGGGAGAAGGAGGUGGUUCAGGGGUGUAUUUUUUGGCGAGUUUGGAGACCAUCCGCCGCCGUUAGGCGAAUUCCGGCAACGAUUUUGGGGCGGAGCCGGUGGCGUUACAUUUUAUGAUAAUG
This 1928-nucleotide long non-coding RNA is filed under the name Nicotiana benthamiana. RNAcentral describes it as "long non-coding RNA (NBEN_LNC003051)". The record is from RNAcentral. Lineage: Eukaryota; Viridiplantae; Streptophyta; Magnoliopsida; Solanales; Solanaceae.